UAACAAAGUGAGAUAAAUAUAUGGCAAAACGCCUCCAGAAAUAGCAUUUAUUUGAAAUAGUGGACUCUGGCUGAGUUUGUUAUUUAAAUCAGUAAACUGCUGCUAAACUUGUGUUAUUGGUUAUUAAUUGCUAAUAAGUCACCUAAAGCCAUGUUUCAUAAGCUGGCUUUUUAGGUCAGAAGAGAUAGUUCAGCUUGUUCUUGACUUGAGUCACACUGCAUUUGCUUCAUCUACUUUUAAAGAGUCGAUUGAAUGUGCUAAGUUAAUUUGUUGGUGGUAAAGGGGGUGAUAAUGUGAAGACAGCAACAUAGCCAUUCUUCUCGCAUACUCCCUGUGUUGGACAAAUAAAGUAAUAAGUUUUAACAUUCAAAUCAGAAAAUGCUAAUGGAAACUAGGUUAGUUACCUGGUUGUAUGCAAAUAUGCUGACAUAAGUUCUCGACACUGGCAAAAUCAAACUGUUGAUAAUUUGAAACUGUAAUUCUGGCAAUCAGAACAACUGUAGAGCCCACGAACAUGUUCCAUUUCACUGAUAACUCAACAACCAGCAAUUGCAAGACUCCAUUUGUCUCGACAUAGCAUUCAGUUAAUUUCACUCUCUAUGUUGGUUCAUAACUUCAUCUAGAAGAGAAAAACAGUUGUGAAAUAAGUGAAGGCAACAGCAAUACUAAAUCAAUUUAAAAAAAAAUUUUCUAAUGCACGUAUCACUCGGAUAUUUGUUGCAAUAUUUAGAGAAGUGAUUGAAUUUGCAUGACGUGAAGAACUUUUACAGCAGUCAACACUUCAAAUACACAUAUGGCCAAAUCCUUUCAACUUAUCCAGUAGGCCACCAUAAUCAUAACCAAGGAAAACUCUCCAUACAAACAAAAACAAACGACGGAAUAAACGUCAGGUCAGCAACAAUAACACCUUCCAUUCCUUCCCCGAGAGCAUUUACAUAGAUAGAAAAAUUACAAACCAAGUUUUUAACUAUCGCCACUAGACGAUAAACAAGCUCCCGUGGCUUUACUUGGGUGGAGCCUAAAAAGAGGAAGGGAAGCCGAUUUGGCUUCAAGAAAAUGCUUAAUCCUUUUGGCUUCCUUAUAUAUAGUAGGCUAUGCUUAGAGUUAACUCGCUGAAGAUAUCCUGGGGCAAGAAUAGCCUUGAAUCCAGUACUGGAGAGAAGGAUUCAGCGAGAAAAAAGAGCUAACCAGCCUUUACCUACAAGAACCAUUGAUAAAUUGCUAGAUUUAAUGAAAACUAAUCCUGAAAGAAUUUAGCGGAAACAUAUGUGGACAUAAUUUUUUUAUUGAGCGACCCAUUCCAAAGAAGAUGACAACGUUUCAGGUGUCGGGUUGGUUUUUCUGCCGUUAAUGUUUCUUACCCAGCUUGGAAAAAUAAUUGCAAUGUAUCAACA
This is a long non-coding RNA of Daphnia magna, 1394 nucleotides long. RefSeq lists it as uncharacterized. The transcript is spliced from 2 exons. NCBI's taxonomy places the organism in Eukaryota, Metazoa, Arthropoda, Branchiopoda, Diplostraca, Daphniidae. The record is from RefSeq and is a predicted model, not a curated record.